UACGAAGGGGGCUAGCGUUGCUCGGAAUUACUGGGCGUAAAGGGUGCGUAGGCGGGUCUUUAAGUCAGGGGGGAAAUCCUGGAGCUCAACUCCAGAACUGCCUUUGAUACUGAAGAUCUUGAGUUCGGGAGAGGUGAGUGGAACUGCGAGUGUAGAGGUGAAAUUCGUAGAUAUUCGCAAGAACACCAGUGGCGAAGGCGGCUCACUGGCCCGAUACUGACGCUGAGGCACGAAAGCGUGGGGAGCAAACAGG
RNAcentral lists this ribosomal RNA (253 nucleotides) under uncultured bacterium. RNAcentral describes it as "partial 16S ribosomal RNA". It matches the Rfam family "Bacterial small subunit ribosomal RNA", at positions 524 to 776 of the family's 1533-position model. The record is from RNAcentral.